This 85-nucleotide transfer RNA is filed under the name Felis catus (domestic cat). It matches the Rfam family "tRNA". Rfam says of the family: Transfer RNA (tRNA) molecules are approximately 80 nucleotides in length. Lineage: Eukaryota; Metazoa; Chordata; Mammalia; Carnivora; Felidae. The record is from Rfam by way of RNAcentral.
GCCUGGGUGGCUCAGUCGGUUAAGCGUCUGACUUCAGCUCAGGUGGUGAUCUCACGGUCUGUGAGUUCGAGCCCCGCAUCGGGCU